GACGAACGCUGGCGGCGUGCUUAACACAUGCAAGUCGAACGAAGUGGCGAACGGGUGAGUAACGCGUAAUCAACCUGCCCUUCAGAGGGGGACAACAGUUGGAAACGACUGCUAAUACCGCAUACUGACGGAGGGGAUUGCGUCUGAUUAGCUAGUUGUAGGGGUAACGGCCCACCAAGGCGAUGAUCAGUAGCCGGUCUGAUAGGAUGAACGCACACGUUGGGGCUGAGACACGGCCCAGACUCCUACGGGAGUCAGCAUGGGGGAAUCUUCGGCAAUGGACGAAAGUCAGACCGGGCAACGCCGCGGGAUUGAAGAAGGUUUUCGGAUCGUAAAACUCUGUUGUUAGAGAAGCGGUAUCUAACCAGAAAGCCACGGCUAACUACGUGCCAGCAGCCGCGGUAAUAC
RNAcentral lists this ribosomal RNA (408 nucleotides) under uncultured bacterium. Its description in RNAcentral is "partial 16S ribosomal RNA". It matches the Rfam family "Bacterial small subunit ribosomal RNA", at positions 28 to 526 of the family's 1533-position model. The record is from RNAcentral.